This 187-nucleotide ribosomal RNA is filed under the name Hyaena hyaena (striped hyena). RNAcentral's name for it is "partial large subunit ribosomal RNA". It matches the Rfam family "Bacterial large subunit ribosomal RNA", at positions 1907 to 2098 of the family's 2925-position model. Lineage: Eukaryota; Metazoa; Chordata; Mammalia; Carnivora; Hyaenidae. The record is from RNAcentral.
AUUGACACAAGUUAAACAGGCCGCGGUAUCCUGACCGUGCAAAGGUAGCAUAAUCACUUGUUCUCUAAAUAAGGACUAGUAUGAAUGGCCACACGAGGGUUUAACUGUCUCUUACUUCCAAUCAGUGAAAUUGACCUUCCCGUGAAGAGGCGGGAAUAUAACAACAAGACGAGAAGACCCUAUGGAG